UACUCGAGCGGCGAACGGGUGAGUAACACGUGAGUAACCUGCCCCAGGCUUUGGGAUAACCCCGGGAAACCGGGGCUAAUACCGGAUAUGACCAUCUGUCGCAUGGUGGGUGGUGGAAAGAUUUUUUGGCUUGGGAUGGGCUCGCGGCCUAUCAGCUUGUUGGUGGGGUGAUGGCCUACCAAGGCGGCGACGGGUAGCCGGCCUGAGAGGGCGACCGGCCACACUGGGACUGAGACACGGCCCAGACUCCUACGGGAGGCAGCAGUGGGGAAUCUUGCACAAUGGGCGGAAGCCUGAUGCAGCGACGCCGCGUGAGGGAUGACGGCCUUCGGGUUGUAAACCUCUUUCAGCAGGGACGAAGCGUUUGUGACGGUACCUGCAGAAGAAGCGCCGGCCAACUACGUGCCAGCAGCCGCGGUAAGACGUAGGGCGCAAGCGUUGUCCGGAUUUAUUGGGCGUAAAGAGCUCGUAGGCGGCUUGUCGCGUCGACUGUGAAAACCCGUGGCUCAACUGCGGGCUUGCAGUCGAUACGGGCAGGCUAGAGUUCGGUAGGGGAGACUGGAAUUCCUGGUGUAGCGGUGAAAUGCGCAGAUAUCAGGAGGAACACCGGUGGCGAAAGGCGGGUCUCUGGGCCGAUACU
This 640-nucleotide ribosomal RNA is filed under the name Salinispora sp. SRK1-3. RNAcentral's name for it is "bacterial SSU rRNA". It matches the Rfam family "Bacterial small subunit ribosomal RNA", at positions 88 to 741 of the family's 1533-position model. The record is from RNAcentral. Lineage: Bacteria; Bacillati; Actinomycetota; Actinomycetes; Micromonosporales; Micromonosporaceae.